UUAUGGUUUGUAGGGCAUGACUCCCUAGACCCCUUAGGUAGGAAUUUGGGCAAAAUAAAAAAUCAGAGCUUAGUCAUCAACUGUAUCCGGGCAGCCUGCCUUCAGAAGUCCAGAUGAACUCAGAUGAGCAAGCUGGACUUUCUCAAUUCCUUCUAGAGCCUGAAACUCAAAACCCAGAGACCCUUGAAGAGAUCCAGUCCUCUUAGCACCAGCAAGAAGCCCCAGCACAGCUUCCACAGCUCCCUGAGGAGGUAGAACCUUCUUUAACCCAGCAGGAGUCCCCAGCUCUGCCUUCACAGUCCCUUGAGGGGGUCGCUCUUCUUCAACAGAGCAGGAGUCCCCAGCACAGCAGCUACCUCCCUCUGAAGAAAUUGUAGCUCAGCCAUCAAUACAUCAUGAGGUAAAUGUCCCAUUUAAAAGUUGGAGUGAAGCUCAGCACUCACACUUGCCCAAUGUCAAGCCAGGAACAGGCUGCCUCUCUGCCUCCAGAGCACCCCAAGGAGGUCAACUCUUCCUCAGCCCAAUUAAAGGCCCCAGCUCAGACAACAGAGUUCCCUGAGGAGAUGAAACCUUCUGCAACUCAGCAAGGGACUCCAGCUGAGCCUCCAGGUCCUCCUGUGGAGGUUGAACCUUCCCCCAGUGAGCAGGAGCAGCCAGUUCAGCCUUGUGAGUUUCCUAGGGGAGUUGAACCUUCUCAGACCCAGCAGGAGGCCCCAGCUCAGCUCCAGAGUCUAUGGAGGGUGCAGUUCAAACUCCACUGAAUCAUGAGGUGACAGUCCAACUUCCAGGCGAGGAUCAAGCUCAUUAUAACUUGCCCAAUGUUACAGUUAAACCUGCGGAUGUGGAUAUUGCCAUAACUUCAGAGUCUGCCAAGAAGACUGAAUCUUCUCCAGCCCAGCAGGAGGCCCCAACCCAGUCUCCAGAGGAGGUGGAAACUUCUGCAACCCAAGAGGAGGCCACAACUGAUCCUCCAGGUCCUCCUGUGGAGGCUGACCCUUCCCGCAGUGAGCAGGAACAGCCAGCUUAGCCCUCUGAGUCUUCUGGGGAGGUUGAAUCUUCUCCAGCCAAGAAGGAGACCCCAGCUCAGCCUCCAGAACAUUAUGAAGUUACAGUUUCACCUCCAGGUCACCAUCAAGCUCAGCAUUCCGGUUUGCCCAAUGUCACUGUUAAGCCUCCAGAUAUGCAGCUCACCAUAGCAACAGAGCCUACUGCAGAGGUGGGAACUUCUCCAGUCUACCAAGAGGGUACAGCUCAGCUCUCAGGGCCAGUUAAUGAUGUAGAACCUUCUGCCACCCAGCAUGGGGGCCCACCUCUGCCUCCAGAGUCAUUGGAAGAGGCUGGGCCUUUACCAGUUCAACAGGAGACUUCAGUUCAGUCUCCAGAACCUAUUAAGGAUCAGAACCCCUCUGCAGCCCAGCAGGAGGCUGAGCAUCCACAGACCCCUGAGGAGGUUGAGUCUUCUCUAACCCAGCAGGAGGCCCCAGCUCAGACUCCAGAGCUCCUUAAUGAAGUUGUAGCUCAAUCUCCAGAGCAUCAUGAGGUAACAGUUUCUCCUCUAAGUCAUGAUCAAGUUCAGCCUCCAACAUUGUACAAUGUCACUGUUAAACCUGUGGAUCACAUGGUUACCAUGACUCCAGAUUUCACUAAUCAGGUUGAAAUUUUAACCCAACAGGGGGACCCAGGUCAGCCCUUAGUGUCCCCUGAGCAGUUUCAACAUUUGAAACACCAGCAAGAGAUUAUAGUUCAGCAGCUAAAUAUCCCGAAAAUGAUGAACUUCCUCCAGUCCAUCAAGAGCCCACAACUCAGCUUCCAGUCGAGCUCUCUUCAGACUUUGAAAGUUCAUUGAAUGAUGGGAUGAUAUUUUCACCUCUAGAUCUGUCUUCAAUAUUCAGAAGUAAUUCAACUUUGCCUAAUACCACAGUUAAAAAUGUGGAUAUGGAGCUUCCCAUACCUUCAGCAGUCACUAUGGAGGUUGAACCUUCUCCAGUCCAGCAAGACAACCCUCCUAUUCCCACUGAGCAGGCUGACUUUUCUCUAGCCCAGCCUGAUCUGCCUUCCCCACCUCUGCAUUCUCCUGAAAAGAUUGAACCUCCAGUCCAGUAAGAGGCCACAGCUCAGACUCCAGAUACCCCUAAGAAGGUAGAACCUUCUCCAGUCCAGCAAGAGUUCAAGCUGAGUCACCAGAGGCCCCUAAGGAGGUUGAACCAUGUGCAACCCAGCAGGAAGCCUCAGGUCAUCCUCCAAAGUCCACUGAAGAGGUCACUCCUCCACCGCAGCAGGAGAUAUCAGCUCAGCCAUCAGAGCCACCUAAGAAGGUCGAACCAUCUCCAGUCCUACAGCAGCCCCCAACUCAGCUUUUAGAGCCAACUAAAGAGGUAGAAUCCUCUCCAGUCUAGCAGGCAGGCCCUGCUCAGUCUUCAGAGCCCCCUAUGGUGACAGAACCCUCUCUGACCCAGCAGAUAGCCCCAUCUUUGCCUCCAGAGUUCCCUCAGGAGGUUGGACCAUAACUAACUCAGCAGGAGGUUCCAGCUCAGAUUCCAGAGCCCUCUAUGGAGGCAGAACCUUCUCCAACCCAGCAGGAGGCCACAGUUCAGGUUCCAGAGCCCCCUAAGGACAUAGAACUUUCAAGCCAGCAGAUGGUCCCACUUCAGCUUCCAUAGCCACUUAAGGAGGUUGCAGCUCAACAUCCAGCUCACUAUGAGGUGACAGUUCCAACACAAGGGCAGGAUCAAGCUCAGCACUCAAUAUUAGCCAGUUUCACAGUUCAACCUUUGGAUCUGGGGCUUACCAUCACUCCAGAAUCCAUGACAGACGUUGAACUUUCUCCAACCAUGCAGGAGACCCCAACUCAGCCUCCUAAGAAAGUUGUACCCCAACUUCCAGCAUAUCAAGAGGUAACAGCCGCAACACCAGGUCAGGAUCAAGCUCAGCAUUCAAUGUCACCCAGCAUUACAGUUCAACCUAUGCACCUGGGAGUUACCAUAAGCCCAGAAUCCAGUACAGAGGUUGAACAUCCUACACCCUUGAAGAAGACUAUAGUUCCUCCAAACCACCCUAAGGUGACACUUCCACAUCCAGGCCAUGUUCAGACUCAGCAUUCAAACCUGACUCAAGCCACAGUUCAACCUUUGGAUCAGGGGCUUACCAUCACUCCAGAAUCCACUACAGAGGUUGAACCUUCUACAGCUCUGACGACUACAUUUUCUUCUCCAAAACAUCCUGAGGUGAGACUUCUACCUUCAGACAAGGGUCAGACUCAACUCACAAUUCAACCUUUAGAUCGGGGGCUUACCAUCACGCCUGAAUCCACUACAAAGGUUGAACCUUCUACAGCCCUGACGACUACAGCUCCAGCUCCAAAAUGCCGUGAGGUGACAUUUCCACCUCCAGACAAAGGUCAGGCUCAGCAUUCAAGCCUGACUCAACUCACAAUUCCAUCCCUUACCAUAACUACAGAGCCUACUAGAGGUUAAACUGUCUGCAACCAUGGAGGAGACCUCAUAUGCCUGAUGAUCUGCAGUCUGAUCUUCAUCUACAUUUUGACCCUUACUUUUGAGGUGAAAAGCUAAGCUAGGGCCUGGUUCUGGUCCCAGUCUAGCAUUGGAACCACUUCUAGGAACGUUUCUUGCUGAGUCAGCUUGUCAUACAGAUCAUGAUCUGCAUUUUGAACCUACUUUUGUGGUGAAAAGCUCAGGUAGGGCCUGGUUCUGGUCCCAGUCUAGCAUUGGAAACACUUCUAGGAACGUUUCUUGCUGAGUCAGCUUGUCAUACAGAUCCUGGUCUACAUUUUGAACCUUACUUUUGAGGUGAAAAGUGAAAGGCAAUGGAAGGGUGCCACGGACAAAAACGGUCGAGAGGCAGUGCAAAGAAGGCAAAAGUUCCUUUAUUAAGCUCUCAGGCGAGGUUCACUGGUCCGCAGGGGAGGGCCAGGGAAGUCGCAUUGUGUUGGAGGUGCAGCACGCUUAUCUGGACACUAGGUGAGGUAGGGGCGGAGUUGGGGUGGGGCAAGGGAGGAGUUAGUUAGGUUUCGUUUUCCUGAGUGUGACGCGCCUUAGUGGGCACGUGUGCUAGCCGGGAUGGCAGGAACCGGGGGAAGAUGAACCCGGAAAUGCUGAGUCAGGGUGGCCUAGAUGGUUGCCUGUCGCCAUCUUGGGACCUUCAACGGAGUCCAAACAAAAAGCUAAGCUAGGGCCUGGUUCUGGUCCCAAUCUAGCAUUGGAACCACUUCUAGGAAUGUUUCUUGCUGAGUCAGCUUGUCAUAUAGAUCCUGGUCUACAUUUUGAACCUUACUUUUGAGGUGAAAAACUAAGCUAGGGCCUGGUUCUGGUCCCAGUCUAGCAUUAGAACCACUUCUAGGAACGUUUCUUGCUGAGUCAGCUUGUCAUAUACAUCUUGAUCUACAUUUUGAACCUACUUUUGAGGUGAAAAGCUAAGCUAGGGCAUGGUUCUGGUCCCAGUCUAGCAUUGGAACCACUUCUAGGAACGUUUCUUCCUGAGUCAGCCUGUCAUACAAAUCCUGGUCUAUAUUUUGAACCUUACUUUUGAGGUGAAAAGUGAAAGGCAAUGGAAGGGUGCCGCGGACAAAAAGCGUCAAGAGGCAGGGCAAAGAAGGCAAAAGUUCCUUUAUUAAGUUCUCGGGCGAGGUUCACUGGUCCGCAGGGGAGGGCCAGAGAAGUCGCACUGUGUUGGAGGUGCAGCACGCUUAUAUGGACACUAGGUGAGGUAGGGGCAGAGUCGGGGUGGGUCAAGGGCGGAAUUAGUUAGGUUUCGUUUUCCUGAGUGUGACACGCCUUAGUGGGCACACAUGCUAGCCCGGAUGGCGGGAACCGGGGGAAGAUGAACCCGGAAAUGCUGAGUCAGGGUGGCCAAGAUGGUUGCCUGUCGCCAUCUUGGGGCCUUCACCGGAGUCCAAACAAAAAGCUAAGCUAGGGCCUGGUUCUGCUCCCAGUCUAGCAUUGGAACCACUUCUAGGAACGUUUCUUGCUGAGUCAGCUUGUCAUACAGAUCCUGGUCUACAUUUUGAACCUUACUUUUGAGGUGAAAAGCUGAGGUAGGGCCUGGCUCUGGUCCCAGUCUAGCAUUGGAACCACUUCUAGGAAUGUUUCUUGCUGAGUCAGCUUGUCGUACAGAUCCUGAUCUACAUUUUGAACCUUACUUUUGAGGUGAAAAGUGAAAGGCAAUGGAAGAGUGCCUCGGACAAAAAGGGUCGAGAGGCAGGGCAAAGAAGGCAAAGUUUCCUUUAUUAAGCCCUCGGGCAAGGUUCACUUGUCCGCAGGGGAGGGCCAGGGAAGUCGCACUGUGUUGUAGUUGCAGCACGCUUAUAUGGACACUAGGUGAUGUAGGGGCGGAGUCGGGGUGGGGCAAGGGCGGCGUUAGUUAGGUUUCGUUUUCCUGAGAGUGACGCGCCUUAGUGGGCACGCGUGCUAGCCGGGAUGGCGGGAAUGGGGGGAAGAUGAACCCGGAAAUGCUGAGUCAGGGUGGCCAAGAUGGUUGCCUGUCGCCAUCUUGGGGCCUUCACCGGAGUCCAAACAAAAAGCUAAGCUAGGGCCUGGUUCUGCUCCCAGUCUAGCUUUGGAACCACUUCUAGGAACGUUUCUUGCUGAGUCAGCUUGUCAUACAGAUCCUGGUCUACAUUUUGAACUUUACUUUUGAGGGGAAAACCUAAGCUAGGGCCUGGUUCUGGUCCCGUUCUAGCAUUGGAACCACUUCUAGGAACGUUUCUUGCUGAGUCAGCUUGUCAUACAGAUCCUGAUCUACAUUUUGAACCUACUUUUGAGGUGAAAAGCUUAGCUAGGACCUGGUUCUGGUCCCAGUCUAGCGUUGGAACCACUUCUAGGAACGUUUCUUGCUGAGUCAGCUUGUCAUACAGAUCCUGGUCCACAUUUUGAACCUUACUUUUGAGGUGAAAAGUGAAAGGCAAUGGAAGGGUGCCGCGGACAAAAAGGGUCGAGAGGCAGGGCAAAGAAGGCAAAAGUUCCUUUAUUAAGCUCUCGGGCGAGGUUCACUGGUCCGCAGGGUAGGGCCAGGGAAGUCGCACUGUGUUGGAGGUGCAGCUCGCUUAUAUGGACACUAGGUGAGGUGAGGGCGGAGUCGGGGUGGGGCAAGGGCGGAGUUAGUUAGGUUUCCUUUUCCUGAGUGUGACGCGCCUUAGUGGGCACACGUGCUAGCCGGGAUGGUGGGAACGGGGGGAAGAUGAACCCAGAAAUGCUGAGUCAGGGUGGCCAAGAUGGUUGCCUGUCGCCAUCUUGGGGCCUUCACCAGAGUCCAAACAAAAAGCUAAGCUAGGGCCUGGUUCUGCUCCCAGUCUAGCAUUGGAACCACUUCUAGGAACGUUUCUUGCUGAGUCAGCUUGUCAUACAGAUCCUGGUCUACAUUUUGAACCUUACUUUUGAGGUGAAAAGCUCAGCUAGGUCCUGGCUCUGGUCCCAGUCUAGCAUUGGAACCACUUCUAGGAACGUUUCUUGCUGAGUCAGCUUGUCAUACAGAUUCUGGUCUACAUUUAGAACCUUGCUUUUGAGGUGAAAAGUGAAAGGCAAUGGAAGGGUUCCAUAGACAAAAAGGGUCGAGAGGCAGGGCAAAGAAUGCAAAAGUUCCUUUAUUAAGCUCUUGGACGAGGUUCACUGGUCCGCAGGGGAGGGCCGGGGAAGUCGCACUGUGUUGGAGGUGCAGCAGGCUUAUAUGGACACUAGGUGAGUUAGGGGCGGAUUCGGGGUGGGGCAAGGGCGGAGUUAGUUAGGUUUUAUUUUCCUGAGUGUGACACGCCUUAGCGGGCUCACGUUCUUGCCGGGAUGGCGGGAACGGGGGGAAGAUGAACCCGCUAAUGCUGAGUCAGGGUGGCCAAGAUGGUUGCCUGUCGCCAUCUUGGGGCCUUCACCGGAGUCCAAACAAAAAGCUAAGCUAGGGCCUGGUUCUGGUCCCUGUCUAGCAUUGGAACCACUUCUAGGAACGUUUCUUGCUGAGUCAGCUUGUCAUACAGAUCCUGGUCUACAUUUUCAACCUACUUUUGAGGUGAAAAGCUAAGCUAGGGCCUGGUUCUGGUCCUAGUCUUGCAUUGGAACCACUUCUAGGAACGUUUCUUGCUGAGUCAGCUUGUCAUACAGAUCCUGAUGUGCAGCAGCAAAUUGCUCUGGCUCCGGGGGCAGGUCUCCAGCUGAAUGUGUGCCUACGAAUGGAAUCAAAGUCUCAUCAAAAUCUCAGUCAGUUCCUGAGGCAGAAGAGAUGGGUGUGUCUUAUCCAAGAUUUCUCUGGCUCCAGGGGCAGGUCUCCAGCUGAAUCUGUGCCUACAAAUGGAAUCAAAGUCUCAUCAAAGUCUCAGUCAGUUCCUGAGGCAGAAGAGAUGGGUGUGUCUUAUCCAAGAUUUCUCUGGCUCCAGGGGCAGGUCUCCAGCUGAAUCUGUGCCUACGAAUGCAAUCAAAGUCUCAUCAAAGUCUCAGUUCCUGAGGCAGAAGAGAUGGGUGUGUCUUAUCCAAGAUUUCUCUGGCUCCAGGGGCAGGUCUCCAAUGCAAACAAAGUCUCAUCAAAGUCUCAGUUCCUGAGGCAGAAGAGAUGGGUGUGUCUUAUCCAAGAUUUCUCUGGCUCCAGGGGCAGGUCUCCAGCUGAAUCUGUGCCUACAAAUGGAAUCAAAGUCUCAUCAAAGUCUCAGUCAGUUCCUGAGGCAGAAGAGGUGGGUGUGUCUUAUCCAAGAUUUCUCUUAUGGAACAAAGUUACAUCAAAGCCAAUUUAAAAGCCUAUGUAAAAAAAAUUAUUAUUAUUGAUGCAAUGUAUACAAAUAUAUAGACCAAUAUAAUAAGUUUACUAUUCCUACCAUGAUUUGUCUUUAGUAAAAUGGGAAACUGGAGAAAAACUUAUGUUUCCAAAUGAUUAUAUAUCUGUGUUAGAUUCUAGUCUUGCCUAAUUUUUUUUCAAUUUGGAUUACUUUCUACAGUUUGGACCAAAUUCUAAUUUUUUUUUAUUACAAGUCUCCAAAAUAAUUUUUAAAUUUUUUUUUCCUUCUUUUUUCCAUUUUUCCUAAUUUGGAGUCACUGAAAACUAAGCUGUGCUUUCUUAAAAUCCUGUGAACUGAAGCCAGACAACUUAAACUUCAGAAGAAAAUAACAGCAACCUAUUUACAUACAUAAACCACUUUCAUACCUGCCUACUGAUGCAUAGACUUCAGAGUAAUGAGGCCUAUAUCAAAUGUUUCCCGGAUUGUUCUUUUGUUUGUUGUUGUUUUCUCUCUCUUCCUCCCACUAUUUUCUCUUCGCAGGACAUGAGACUUAACAACCUGCUAAAAAUGAGCUUUUGGGACCUACCCAUCAAGGAAUAAACUGUCCUCGCCAUGAGAGAUCAAAUGAAACCUGAGACCAGAGACUCAUUUUCUUGUAAAAUGCUUUCUCCAACAGAUUUUUAAAAAGAAAAGGGGGGAAAUGUGAAAGGAAAAUAUCUGUGGUCCCCAAAAUCACGAAGGAAAACUCAAGCCGGGAACUGCUUAGGGCAAACCUGCCUCCCAUUCUAUUCAAAGUCACUCCUUUGCCCAAUCAGAUAGAUGCUUAUCUGAUUUGCCUCCUUUGGAAAGGCUGAUCAGAAACUCAAAAGAAUGGAACCAUUUGUGUAACAGCCAUCUGUGACCUGGAAGCUUCCUUCCCACUUCAGUCUUCCUGCCUUUGCUUCAAGUUGUCCUGUCUUUCCAGAUGAAGCAAUGUACUUCUUAACAUAUAUUGACUGAUGUCUCAUGAUGUCUCCCUAAAUGUAUGAAACCAAGCUGUGCCUGACAACCUUGGACAUAUUUUGUCAAGACUUCCCUGAGGCUGUCAUUGGUGCAUCCUCAACCUUGGCAAAAUAAACUUUCUAAAUUAA
Long non-coding RNA from Homo sapiens (human), 8835 nucleotides. RefSeq annotates it as leucine-rich repeat-containing protein 37A3. The transcript has a single exon. The record is from RefSeq and is a predicted model, not a curated record. NCBI's taxonomy places the organism in Eukaryota, Metazoa, Chordata, Mammalia, Primates, Hominidae.